GCGACAACAUGGCAGGGAAACUCAUUGGCAGCACAAGGGAUGAGAGUACAGAUUAUUAAACUGAAAUAAAUGCGCAGAGUGAGCAGCCGAUUUACUCAGGGGCAUCGCAAAUAAAUACAUAAACACACCUCCAGUUUUCUCAACAGCAUUUCAUUUUUGAUUAGCCAGCUGGACAAGCACUAGGAAGAGCAAGGUGUCAAAUCGUCGCAGUGAUAGUCACUGAGGUAGCUACCAAGUCCAUCAUCCUAGACUGUGGCAACUUGGCAUACGCAUUUUAUAUGUAUAGGUUUCUGUCCGGUUUAGGGGAACAUUUUAAUCAAGAAAAUUCGCAGUUCGCUAAGACUGACCCUAAUAUGACUAGCUAGCUAGUCUCUGAUGAUAAGUUAGCAUUGGUGCCUGCCUGAUCGACGUGGCUAACUUCACUUGCUGGGCAUAAUUGGCAAGAACGACAUCUUUCUGCAUCAUCACAGAAUGAACGAAGACGAGUUGGUAGAGUACUUUCGGGCGCAGAUGAGGCAGGAUCCGGAUGUAACCUCUGCAGUUGCAACCAUCCGCACCCUGCUGGAGUUCCUAAAAAGAGACAGAGGUACGUAGUUCCGAUAAAACGCGCCUUGCACACCGCAACACAGUUUUGCGUGUGACAAUAAUACCUGGUGUCUUGUUCAAAUUGUAUAAUAGAUUCAAUGUGUACAAUAACUUUUGUUGUGUUGUGGUUUGAAGGUGUUUGUUGCUCUCUUGACCGUUGGAAGUCCGAAUUACCUAUUGUACCUUUAACAGAGAACCGGUGAUUAAACCACAACAGGCCGUUUAUUUUCUGUGUAAAAUGAGGACCACAACAGGCUGUUUCUUUUCUGUAUUAGGUGGUUAGUAAUGGGCUGUUUCCUUUCCCAGGAUCUGGCACAGUGCAAGAAGGUAAUGGUUGAAAGAGGAGAACUUUUCCUGAAGAAAAUCUCGCUGUCCAGGAACAAGGUCGCAAAGCUGUGCCACACCUUCAUUAAAGAUGGAGCAUUGAGACUCCAGACUGUUCGACACUCUUCAGAUGUAGCAUUUCAAUAAGGUUUCAAUGCGUUUUAAUUUGAAAACCUUUGUUUUCGGACGUUUGGGUGCAUAAUUAGCACUGAACAACAUGCUAACAAAAACAAAAAGCGCCUCCAACAGAGAAUCUGACGUAGUCACUCUCCUGGGGUGAGUAGAGUGAGUGUGUCCAUCAUUUGCAUAAUGUAUUCUCUAACCAAUCAGGUGCCAGUAGUUUUCAGUGUAAAAUUGAUCCAUAACCGCUGGCUUUCCGAAAAUGAACCGUUAAAAUUAAGCUCGCAAAUUUGUGUGCGUCAAGAAUUUACGUUCUUGUUUGUCAAUGGAAAGCAUUUACACUACCUACCUACACUUCUAGCCAAAAGUUUAGACACACUCACUUCCUUUUUCUGCUUUUUCUGAUUAUUACAAACAGAAAAUGAAACAAUCUGCACCACAAAUAAAUUAGUUUUGCUUUCACUGUUUCGUAAUUUCAGCAUUUCAGUGUUUGAGACAAAUUAACCUAAUGUCAAAUAAAAUGAUGUUUUGUAA
Molecule: long non-coding RNA, 1563 nt
Organism: Conger conger (European conger)
Lineage: Eukaryota; Metazoa; Chordata; Actinopteri; Anguilliformes; Congridae
Exons: 2
Source: RefSeq, a predicted model, not a curated record